Molecule: long non-coding RNA, 3122 nt
Filed under: Phoenix dactylifera (date palm)
Lineage: Eukaryota; Viridiplantae; Streptophyta; Magnoliopsida; Arecales; Arecaceae
Description: long non-coding RNA (PDAC_LNC005239)
Source: RNAcentral
CAGCGGCGAAGAAGAAGAGAGCACGAAGCCGAGAGAUCGAGCGCUCGAUCUAAUCGUAGGGCUUCCGAUUUGAGACACCACGGCUAGCCUUGCAGCCGACCGGCGGGCAACCGACCGCCACCUCAACCCCCACGGCCGCCACCAACAAGUGGAGCGCCGCCGGGCUACCGACGAGGCCCUCCGCCUCCCCCUAGACAAGCAGCGCAGCCCCGCCCCACACGGCGGCCGCGGCGCCCUCCCCUCCGCCGGCGGCCACCCCUCCGACCUCCUCUUCCUUGCCGGCGGCGGCCCUCUAUCUGCCCUCCUCUUUCCCCGCUCUUAAUUGACCUGUUCCUCCCUCAUCUACGUAUCGAUAGAGUUGUAUAGAGAUGCUGACCAUCAAGAGGGUCCCCACCGUAUUUUCCAACUACCAGGAGGACGCCGCCGAGCCCCGCGGCUGCGGCCGGAACUGCCUCGGCAAGUGCUGCUUGCCCGGUAAAGACACCUAACCCAUCAUCUUGAUCUAAUCAACGAAGUCCCUUCAUCAAAAUCCCUUUUUUACUGAAUUUUUGAGUUUUUUUUUUGGGUAGCAGUCUCAAAACUUCCCCUUUAUGCCUUCAAAAGCGACUCGAAGCCGCCGGUUUCUCCCUCUGGCGCCACCGAGGAUCCACCGGCCGACUUUUUCCUCAACGCCCUUUUGCUUGGACAGGUAUUCGUCAUAUAUGAACCCUCAAAAUUUGAUCUUUUUGUUGUCUUCGAUUUUUCUUAUGUGUUUUAGUGAUGUGCUUGUUAUUGGUUUGUUGAUUUUCGGGUGGGGGGUUUGUAGUGGGAAGAUCGGAUGAGCCGGGGGUUGUUCCGGUAUGAUGUGACGGCCUGCGAAACCAAGGUGAUCCCUGGGGAGCAAGGGUUCAUUGCCCAGCUGAACGAGGGCCGCCACCUCAAGAAACGGCCCGCCGAGUUCCGGGUCGACCGCGUCCUCCAGCCAUUUGAUCCUGCCAAGUUUAACUUCACCAAGGUUGGCCAGGAGGAGGUGCUGUUCCGCUUCGAGGCCGGGGGAGCCGACAAGAGUCGCUUCUUUGAGAGUGCCUCUGUUGAUGAAGCCAACCCUCCUAGCGUCGUCGCAAUCAAUGUAAGAGGCCAUUUUUUGGUGUAUUCAUCUUAGUUUGGCUUUUCGUAUCCGGCUAUAUGAUAUUACUGUUGAUAUUUCUAAUGGUUGCAGGUAAGUCCUAUUGAGUAUGGUCAUGUGCUGCUGAUCCCGCGUGUGCUCGACUGCUUGCCUCAGAGGAUCGACACCGAGAGCUUCUUGCUUGCCCUCCAUAUGGCAGCAGAAGCAGGGAACCCUUACUUCAGGCUGGGAUACAAUAGUUUGGGUGCCUUUGCCACUAUUAAUCACCUGCAUUUCCAGGUCACUACUUCUUCCUGCCUUACUUGUUCUUUCCCAUGGGGUGACUGCUUAUGAUCGCUAUUUUAUUUGCAUGGAGUAUGAAUUAUUGAUUACAUUGAUAAUGGAAUGCUUUCAAUUGUAUGGCGACAGGCCGGCGAAGAAGAAGAGAGCACGAAGCCGAGAGAUCGAGCGCUCGAUCUAAUCGUAGGGCUUCCGAUUUGAGACACCACGGCUAGCCUUGCAGCCGACCGGCGGGCAACCGACCGCCACCUCAACCCCCACGGCCGCCACCAACAAGUGGAGCGCCGCCGGGCUACCGACGAGGCCCUCCGCCUCCCCCUAGACAAGCAGCGCAGCCCCGCCCCACACGGCGGCCGCGGCGCCCUCCCCUCCGCCGGUGGCCACCCCUCCGACCUCCUCUUCCUUGCCGGCGGCGGCCCUCUAUCUGCCCUCCUCUUUCCCCGCUCUUAAUUGACCUGUUCCUCCCUCAUCUACGUAUCGAUAGAGUUGUAUAGAGAUGCUGACCAUCAAGAGGGUCCCCACCGUAUUUUCCAACUACCAGGAGGACGCCGCCGAGCCCCGCGGCUGCGGCCGGAACUGCCUCGGCAAGUGCUGCUUGCCCGUCUCAAAACUUCCCCUUUAUGCCUUCAAAAGCGACUCGAAGCCGCCGGUUUCUCCCUCUGGCGCCACCGAGGAUCCACCGGCCGACUUUUUCCUCAACGCCCUUUUGCUUGGACAGUGGGAAGAUCGGAUGAGCCGGGGGUUGUUCCGGUAUGAUGUGACGGCCUGCGAAACCAAGGUGAUCCCUGGGGAGCAAGGGUUCAUUGCCCAGCUGAACGAGGGCCGCCACCUCAAGAAACGGCCCGCCGAGUUCCGGGUCGACCGCGUCCUCCAGCCAUUUGAUCCUGCCAAGUUUAACUUCGUGCUAUGCUGAAAAACAGGCUCUUGGUGAAGUGAGCCAGGAGCUCUUGGAUACUCAAGUGAACCCUGCUGUAUGGGAGAUCAGCGGGCACAUGGUGCUGAAGCAAAAGAAAGAUUAUGAAGAGGCAUCAGAGGACUAUGCUUGGAGGCUGCUGGCUGAGGUCUCCCUCUCUGAAGAAAGGUUUCAAGAAGUCAAAGCUUGUAUCUUUGAAGCCACAGGUUUGGUGGAGGCCGAAGUGGAAGAUACAGAUGCGAACGAGAAUAAAGGAACUUAUCAGUCUACCACAGCUUCCAAUACUCAUUUCCCAGAAGGCUGUCUGGUUCUACAAUGAAUGAUGAGCCUUCAUCUGCUACUGCUGUUUGCUUUCGCUUGCUUGCUUCUGUACCAAAUAAGGGCCGUUAUGGUGCUGUUUUGUGCAGGAACGUUGCCUGAGGACUUGUUUUUCUUCAGUGUGUGCUCUUUGUUGUUGGCUUAUGUUCCAAUUUUCAGACUGCCAAGCAGAUGCUGAAUCUAUUGUUUGUUUUCAACCCAUAUCUAGUUCUAUCAUGUUCUCGUUCUCAUUGAUGUUUCUAAUGAAGUCUAUGGGCCUAAAAUGAGUACCAAGACAACUAGUGAGAGCAUGUAAAAAUGAGUACCGAGAUGUUUGACACAAUUUGAAAAGCUAGUGAUUACGGCCAACCACUUUUGAUCGAUAGAAUCGUGGUUCUUUUCCAACCUGUGCGUAAAGUCUGCGCGUAAUGAAGAUAGGAGAAGUGAGGGAGUUCUAUUUUGUCCAUUUUCAAUUCAGUAUGGUUCUGUCCCUUCUGUAAUGUCAGAUGAAUAAAUAUACUAAUUCUG